RNAcentral lists this ribosomal RNA (72 nucleotides) under Syntrophobacteraceae bacterium. RNAcentral describes it as "partial 16S ribosomal RNA". It matches the Rfam family "Bacterial small subunit ribosomal RNA", at positions 1 to 71 of the family's 1533-position model. The record is from RNAcentral. Lineage: Bacteria; Pseudomonadati; Thermodesulfobacteriota; Syntrophobacteria; Syntrophobacterales; Syntrophobacteraceae.
UAAACUGGAGAGUUUGAUCCUGGCUCAGAAUAAACGCUGGCGGCGUGCCUAACACAUGCAAGUCGAACGAGA